This 384-nucleotide ribosomal RNA is filed under the name uncultured bacterium. RNAcentral describes it as "bacterial SSU rRNA". It matches the Rfam family "Bacterial small subunit ribosomal RNA", at positions 39 to 447 of the family's 1533-position model. The record is from RNAcentral.
GAAUUCGAUUCAGGCCUAACACAUGCAAGUCGAACGCCCAGCAAUGGGAGUGGCAGACGGGUGAGGAACACGUGGGAACGUGCCUUUUGGUUCGGAAUAACUCAGGGAAACUUGUGCUAAUACCGGAUAAGCCCUUCGGGGGAAAGAUUUAUCGCCAAAAGAUCGGCCCGCGUCUGAUUAGCUAGUUGGUGAGGUAACGGCUCACCAAGGCGACGAUCAGUAGCUGGUCUGAGAGGAUGAUCAGCCACACUGGGACUGAGACACGGCCCAGACUCCUACGGGAGGCAGCAGUGGGGAAUAUUGGACAAUGGGGGCAACCCUGAUCCAGCCAUGCCGCGUGAGUGAAGAGAGGUCUUCGGAUUGUAAAGCUCUUUGGCGGGGACG